UGGGGAAUUUUGGACAAUUGGGCGAAAGCCUGAUCCAGCAAUGCCGCGUGUGUGAAGAAGGCCUUCGGGUUGUAAAGCACUUUUGUCCGGAAAGAAAUCCUUGGCUCUAAUACAGUCGGGGGAUGACGGUACCGGAAGAAUAAGCACCGGCUAACUACGUGCCAGCAGCCGCGGUAAUACGUAGGGUGCAAGCGUUAAUCGGAAUUACUGGGCGUAAAGCGUGCGCAGGCGGUUUGCUAAGACCGAUGUGAAAUCCCCGGGCUCAACCUGGGAACUGCAUUGGUGACUGGCAGGCUAGAGUAUGGCAGAGGGGGGUUAGAAUUCCACGUGUAGCAGUGAAAUGCGUAGAGAUGUGGAGGAAUACCGAUGGCGAAGGCAGCCCCCUGGGCCAAUACUGACGCUCAUGCACGAAAAGCGUGGGGGAGCAAAACAGGAUUUAGAUACCCUGGUAGUCCACGCCCUAAAACGAUGUCAACUAGUUGUUGGGGAUUCAUUUCCUUAGUAACGUAGCUAACGCGUGAAGUUGACCGCCUGGGGAGUACGGUCGCAAGAUUAAAACUUAAAUGAAUUGACGGGGUCAUAGCUGUUUCCU
RNAcentral lists this ribosomal RNA (592 nucleotides) under uncultured bacterium. Its description in RNAcentral is "partial 16S ribosomal RNA". It matches the Rfam family "Bacterial small subunit ribosomal RNA", at positions 355 to 1375 of the family's 1533-position model. The record is from RNAcentral.